GUGAGGUCACUGUUGAAGCUUCUGCCAGAGUAAUGCUCGUGAGAAACUGAUAAUACCGAAAUAUAGAGAGCAAAAUACCAAAUGAAGGACAAAUCAAGCUUAAAACAAGUGGAGCAAUAAUUGUUUACACUACAUGGAGAAACCAAAUGUUUCGGUCCCAUCAAUGAGGUUGUGAGCAGAUAUUUAAUAUUUCUAUUUAGUUUGUGGCUCCUAUAUUUAUGAUGUGGGAAGAAAAUGGGGAACGAAGACGUGGUUGUGGGUCUAAUCUCUUGAGAAGACGUGGUUGUGGGUCUAAUCUCUUGAUGGGACCCAUAAAUUGAACAACGGUAAAUUAUUGUAGACACAUUCAACGGUUAAUUGUCAUGAUGUAUCACAAAACACUAGACUAGCUCCAGGCUCCACACAAACAUGCUAUGUUUGCAAGGUUAAUCUAGUAAGUUUUCUAGUUUGUCGAAGCAGAGAUGGCAAGUUCGACCCAUGUACAACGUACCAAACAGGUAGAAUAUAAAAACAGCUAAAAACAAAAUGGGUUGCCCGUGGUGUAUUUUACCGAAUCCAAAAUCAUGCUACUGAUAUUAUUCUUAUUGAAAUAAUAUAAUUCUGGUAAUCAGAUGUUGGACAAAAGGUGUAUUCGGUCAAUCUCACUUGAUUCUACUCGUAGACAAAAAUAACCAUUUUUGAGUAAAAUGCCAUUUUCGUUCCUGAAUUUUGAAAAUAUUACAGAGUAAAAUGUCAUUUUCGUCCCUAAGGUUUGGCAAGUUUUGCGACUUUCGUCCAAAGGUUUGUUUUUCCGCAUCUGGAUCCAAAAGGUUUGAAAUCUUGCCAUUUUCAUCCGGCUCAUUAACUCCAUCCAUUUUUCUCCGUUAAGUCAAGGGUAUUUUUGUCUUU
Molecule: long non-coding RNA, 888 nt
Filed under: Helianthus annuus (common sunflower)
Lineage: Eukaryota; Viridiplantae; Streptophyta; Magnoliopsida; Asterales; Asteraceae
Description: sRNA HanXRQr2_Chr03g0112101
Source: RNAcentral